UGCUAGGAGCUGCCUCAAAGUCGCUCUGGGUUACACAGGUUGCACACAGCAGGGUGGGAGCGUAGAGUUCCUUCUGCGCCCUUCUGAGGCAAUUCGUGGCGGGAUCGGGGAGCUGAGAAAUGUGUUAAUAUUGGAAGCUUGGCGCUUUCCAGACUGCUUGGAUUACAAGUGUGCACCAUCAUUGCUGGCAGAAUGAACAACCAGCCUCCAGGGAAGAGGACCCAGGGACAUCUCACAAGUCUGGAGCUUCCCUGACCUUCAUUGAGUUUUUCCCUGAGAGCCUCCACCCCACUUGGAACAGGAUAGGUAAAAGCAAAUGGAGAGGACGGAGGCCAGGAGAAGGCGCUGGCUGGAUCCUGCUGAUGGAGGGUGGCAGAGAGGGUGAUGAAAGAGCCCUUUGGAGAGUGUGACAGUUUCUGGGGUAAGAGCAUAAACUGGACCUUGUUCUAGCCCUGCCUUUCCUGGGGAGGGGACUUGGAUCUGGGGGAGAACUCCUUUCCCCAGCCAGCGGAAGAGCAGGGUGUGUUGGAGAGGAGGAAGGGAGCUGCUUGAAUCUUAGUCAUGGCUGUUGUCCCACAUUCAGACGAGGUCUGGUUUCCAACACAACCAUGAAAACACAAAUGGGAUUUUAUUAUUAAAAAGGAAGAAGGAGCCAGGUGUGGUGGUGCACGCCUGUAAUAC
This is a long non-coding RNA of Chinchilla lanigera (long-tailed chinchilla), 681 nucleotides long. RefSeq lists it as uncharacterized. The record is from RefSeq and is a predicted model, not a curated record. Lineage: Eukaryota; Metazoa; Chordata; Mammalia; Rodentia; Chinchillidae. The transcript is spliced from 3 exons.